Myotis davidii is the source of this 267-nucleotide long non-coding RNA. RefSeq lists it as uncharacterized. The record is from RefSeq and is a predicted model, not a curated record. The transcript is spliced from 3 exons. NCBI's taxonomy places the organism in Eukaryota, Metazoa, Chordata, Mammalia, Chiroptera, Vespertilionidae.
CCGUCCCUCUGUCCUUUCAUCCCUGCCUGUGAUUCCAAGAUCUUCUGUGUGAGAAGGUUGAGGGAAGACCGAUGUCCCCGCUGGCUGUUGGCUGUGAUGGAAGGGGUCAGGACUUGUGUGGGCAGCUGUUGGAGGGAGCCGUGGCGGAUCGGUGGAGGUGGUGUCAUGUCUUGAAGGUGGAAGGUCCUGUUUGGCCAUCCAUGUGAGGUCAUUGUCCUUUGGAGCUUCCCUGUGUGGUGACCCAGCAUGUCCUUGGGUGGAUGUGUU